AAUUCUCAACCUUUCCAGCUUUUGCGAGCUUGGUCAGGCUUGGAUGUGGGGGUUGCGGGCUUCUCAGAAGUCGGCUCCCCUUAAAUGCAUUAGUGAAACCUUUGUUGGUCAUCUCUUGGUGUGAUAAUUAUCUACGCCAUUAGAGUGUCAGCCUCAACUCUGUUGAGAGGGUUCUGCUUCUAACCGUCCCUUUCUAGGGACAAUUUCUGACC
RNAcentral lists this unclassified non-coding RNA (212 nucleotides) under uncultured Lyophyllum. RNAcentral's name for it is "sequence contains ITS2". The record is from RNAcentral. Lineage: Eukaryota; Fungi; Basidiomycota; Agaricomycetes; Agaricales; Lyophyllaceae.